RNAcentral lists this small RNA (107 nucleotides) under Marmota monax (woodchuck). Lineage: Eukaryota; Metazoa; Chordata; Mammalia; Rodentia; Sciuridae. The record is from RNAcentral.
GCCGGAUGCAGUGGUGCACGUCUGUAAUCCCCGUGACUCAGGAGGCUGAGGCAGGAGGACUGCAAAUUCAAAGCCAGCCUCAGCAACUUAGGGAGACCCUGUCUCAA